CUUACCAUGCAAGUCGAACGGAAAGGCCCUUUCGGGGGUACUCGAGUGGCGAACGGGUGAGUAACACGUGGGUGAUCUGCCCUGCACUUCGGGAUAAGCUUGGGAAACUGGGUCUAAUACCGGAUAGGACUACGAAUCGCAUGGUUUGUGGUGGAAAGCUUUUGCGGUGUGGGAUGGGCCCGCGGCCUAUCAGCUUGUUGGUGGGGUGAUGGCCUACCAAGGCGACGACGGGUAGCCGGCCUGAGAGGGUGUCCGGCCACACUGGGACUGAGAUACGGCCCAGACUCCUACGGGAGGCAGCAGUGGGGAAUAUUGCACAAUGGGCGCAAGCCUGAUGCAGCGACGCCGCGUGGGGGAUGACGGCCUUCGGGUUGUAAACCUCUUUCACCAUCGGCGAAGCCCGUAGCUUUUGUUGUGGGUGACGGUAGGUGGAGAAGAAGCACCGGCCAACUACGUGCCAGCAGCCGCGGUAAUACGUAGGGUGCGAGCGUUGUCCGGAAUUACUGGGCGUAAAGAGCUCGUAGGUGGUUUGUCGCGUUGUCCGUGAAAUUCCCUGGCUUAACUGGGGGCGUGCGGGCGAUACGGGCAGACUGGAGUACUGCAGGGGAGACUGGAAUUCCUGGUGUAGCGGUGGAAUGCGCAGAUAUCAGGAGGAACACCGGUGGCGAAGGCGGGUCUCUGGGCAGUAACUGACGCUGAGGAGCGAAAGCGUGGGGAGCGAACAGGAUUAGAUACCCUGGUAGUCCACGCCGUAAACGGUGGGUACUAAGUGUGGGUUUCCUUCCUUGGGAUCCGUGCCGUAGCUAA
RNAcentral lists this ribosomal RNA (807 nucleotides) under Mycobacterium sp. Its description in RNAcentral is "bacterial SSU rRNA". It matches the Rfam family "Bacterial small subunit ribosomal RNA", at positions 48 to 855 of the family's 1533-position model. The record is from RNAcentral. Lineage: Bacteria; Bacillati; Actinomycetota; Actinomycetes; Mycobacteriales; Mycobacteriaceae.